AUCCAUCUCGAACACAGAAGUUAAGCUCUAGAGCGCCGAAAGUAGUGGCCGGAACGCUGGCUGCGAGGAUAGGACGAUGCGAUGC
This 85-nucleotide ribosomal RNA is filed under the name Convivina intestini. Lineage: Bacteria; Bacillati; Bacillota; Bacilli; Lactobacillales; Lactobacillaceae. The record is from RNAcentral.